This 506-nucleotide ribosomal RNA is filed under the name uncultured bacterium. RNAcentral's name for it is "partial 16S ribosomal RNA". It matches the Rfam family "Bacterial small subunit ribosomal RNA", at positions 28 to 523 of the family's 1533-position model. The record is from RNAcentral.
GAUGAACGCUAGCUACAGGCUUAACACAUGCAAGUCGAGGGGUAACGAGAGGAAAGCUUGCUUUCCUUGUCGACGACCGGCGCACGGGUGAGUAACGCGUAUCCAACCUGCCCCCAACUAGGGAAUAACCUUGCGAAAGUAAGACUAAUACCCUAUAAUUUCCUCAGAUGUCAUCUGACGAGGAAUAAAGAUUUAUCGGUUGUGGAUGGGGAUGCGUCUGAUUAGCUUGUUGGCGGGGUAACGGCCCACCAAGGCAACGAUCAGUAGGGGUUCUGAGAGGAAGGUGCCCCACAUUGGAACUGAGACACGGUCCAAACUCCUACGGGAGGCAGCAGUGAGGAAUAUUGGUCAAUGGGCGGAAGCCUGAACCAGCCAAGUAGCGUGCAGGAUGACGGCCCUAUGGGUUGUAAACUGCUUUUAUACAGGAAUAAAGUUAGCCACGUGUGGUUAUUUGUAGGUACUGUAUGAAUAAGGACCGGCUAAUUCCGUGCCAGCAGCCACGGUAA